UACGUAGGGGGUUAGCGUUGUUCGGAAUCACUGGGCGUAAAGCGAACGUAGGCGGCGCGUUAAGUCAGGGGUGAAAUCCUGGAGCUCAACUCCAGAACUGCCUUUGAUACUGGCGUGCUCGAGUGUGGGAGAGGUUGGUGGAACUCCGAGUGUAGAGGUGAAAUUCGUAGAUAUUCGGAAGAACACCAGUGGCGUAGGCGGCCAACUGGCGCAUUACUGACGCUGAGGUGCGAAAGCGUGGGGAGCAAACAGG
Molecule: ribosomal RNA, 253 nt
Filed under: uncultured bacterium
Lineage: Bacteria
Description: partial 16S ribosomal RNA
Rfam family: Bacterial small subunit ribosomal RNA
Source: RNAcentral